RNAcentral lists this ribosomal RNA (492 nucleotides) under uncultured bacterium. Its description in RNAcentral is "partial 16S ribosomal RNA". It matches the Rfam family "Bacterial small subunit ribosomal RNA", at positions 29 to 507 of the family's 1533-position model. The record is from RNAcentral.
AGUGAACGCUGGCGGUAGGCCUAACACAUGCAAGUCGAACGGCAGCACAGUAAGAGCUUGCUCUUACGGGUGGCGAGUGGCGGACGGGUGAGGAAUACAUCGGAAUCUACUUUUUCGUGGGGGAUAACGUAGGGAAACUUACGCUAAUACCGCAUACGACCUACGGGUGAAAGCAGGGGUUCUUCGGACCUUGCGCGAUUGAAUGAGCCGAUGUCGGAUUAGCUAGUUGGCGGGGUAAAGGCCCACCAAGGCGACGAUCCGUAGCUGAUCUGAGAGGAUGAUCAGCCACACUGGAACUGAGACACGGUCCAGACUCCUACGGGAGGCAGCAGUGGGGAAUAUUGGGCAAUGGGCGCAAGCCUGAUCCAGCCAUACCGCGUGGGUGAAGAAGGCCUUCGGGUUGUAAAGCCCUUUUGUUGGGAAAGAAAAGCAGCAGGUUAAUACCCCGCUGUUCUGACGGUACCCAAAGAAUAAGCACCGGCUAACUUCGUG